GCUCCCGUCGUUCAACGGAUAGGACGGAGGUUUCCUAAACCUUAAAUCGAGGUUCGAUUCCUCGCGGGAGCA
RNAcentral lists this transfer RNA (72 nucleotides) under bacterium. Its description in RNAcentral is "tRNA-Arg". It matches the Rfam family "tRNA". From Rfam's summary of the family: Transfer RNA (tRNA) molecules are approximately 80 nucleotides in length. The record is from RNAcentral.